CUCAUUCUAAAAGAUCGAAAUACAAAGCUAGUCUAAAAAUUAAUUUCACUACAUUGAUUGGCAAGAUUCAUAAGACAUACACUUGUAAUUUACUAAAGAAAAAACAUCUACAGCUGGGCUGAGCUGUUGAGUCCAAACUGUCCAGGCCCAAUGGCCUAGAUCAAACUUGCUCGAAUGAACCCAAGACUUGGGCCUGUUCGCAAGUGCAACCCAGUUUAUACAACCAUAAACAUGUUCAUUACAAAAGGAAAAUCUACUAUUGAAAGUCCACUAACAACUAAACUUAAAUUGAAAUUAACAGUCCAUUUACAAUAUUACCAGUUCAAGACUUUUUACAAGAAGGAUUUUAACCCAAUGAACCAUUAUCCUGACAGUCCCUCACAACUAAUAUUUAAAAAAAGUUCUAAAAAAAAGGUAAAUAAAAGGAAGAUGUCUUCUAGCCUUGAAUUUUUGCCAUCAAGCUCUUUACAACCAAUGUACCAGCUUGCAAGAGAUCAACUACAGAGCUGUUUCUCACAAGCUGGUUGUUUAAACACCACACCUGAAGCUUCUUAAUGCCCAAAUCAGCUCCUAUUCUACUAAGGAUUUCAUGAAUCUGAUCACGUGAAAAGGUCAGAUCAACAGAAAUGCCUUUAAUCAUACCAAACUCAAUAUAUUGUCAGACCCAAACAUAAACACAUAAUGCAAUAAAACAGUUAUGAUUCAUGGGUUUAACCAUGUUAAAGGUUAAACUCAUGAACCACUAUAGGUUUCAAGCCCAAAAUCAUGGCAUGCUGCUUUGGUGAAAUACUAGAAUAAACUUAAAAGGAAGGAAAGAGGAAGUUCAAUCCAUGAACCUGACCAUGUAAGGGUCAGGCUCCCUGGACAAACCUAGUUUUAGGGAGGGGAAUCUAAACAUGUUUUAAUCAGUACAAGAAGAAACAGAGAUGCAUACAUGGCAUAAGAUAAUCAGUACUAAAAUCUAACAAAGAAACAGAACAUUAUGACAUAAGCUAGAGGUAAAGAAACUCAUGCAUUCUGAGAGAGAAAAAAAGCUUUAGCACUAUUGUAGUUUCAGCAUGUAAAACUUAAAAAGCAUAUACAGACAGUGUCAAACAAAAAGAAAUAGCUCAUAUUCAUCUGAAGUUUCAAUUACAAAGCAAUCAAACAAGGAAAGGGUCAUAUGUACCUUGAAACAGCAGUUAGGUAACAACUAAAAUGAAGAUAAGACUGUUGGAGGAAUCUCAGAAGCAGAAAACAGCAAACAAUGAACAACACAACUUCAGCAGACCCAAAGAAUCCCAGAAUUUCAAAACUAAACCAACACUUGAAAAACCAGAAAUCCCAAGUAAAUACUCCUAGGAAAAUUCUUCAUUUCAACUCAUUUUUUAACUUGUUAACAAAGAGACGUUUCUUUUUUUAGAAGUUUUUCUGAGAUUUUCUUUAAAUCUGAAAUUCAGAGAAGAGAGAUAAUUUUUCUGCAGAGAAUGAUACACUAAUGAUUGUUCAUCCUCUUUCUUAGAAUGAGGGAAACCUACCUAUAUAGGCUGCCUAGGGAGAUUAUCUUUUUUGGCAUAUUCCUUAUCCCAGGGUAAAAAUAGUACUGUCCUUGGUACAACUGUCCUAUAUUUCAGCAUCUUUUUGUAAUAGCUAGGACAACUGUACCGUUUUCUAGGAAAUUUCUGAUUUUUAGCCUAGGUAGAAACCCAUUUUUAACCUUCAAGUUGCUGCUUAUUUCAGUCUUAACCUAAACUUUUUCAGUUCAAAUAGGUCCCUAAAGUUUCUAUCUGUGAGCAGUUUAGAACAAACAAGGACAAAACUAAAAGGGGUGAAAAUUUGGAUCAAAAUGCUUAAACAGGUCAAAAAGGUGCAGUCUAGACUUAAUAGAAGGAAAUGCUUGAUCAAUUAGAACUGACUAACACUGAAACUAAAAAAAAAUGCAUUUAAACAGUAAUCCAAAAAUCAGAAAUGCAAAUGCAAGGAACAAACUGGAAUUCAAACUACAUCAAUUUGCAAAACUUAAACAAACGAACCUAAAUAAUUGCCGGUCCUCCUAAAAUAAGCCUUUAGACUAGUUUAGGAAAUAAGAGCAAUCAUUUUGAACAUGCUGAAUCUUAGAGAUUGAGACCUAGGCUAAUUGGAAACAUGCUUUUCCUUUUUUUCUUUCUUUUUUUUUUUUAAAAAUCUAUCAAACAAAAAACCAACAUCAAACAGAGCUAGGGGGGUCUGUGAAUUAAAAGAAGGCGGGUAUUUCAGCAUCAAUUUAAAACAUGCAGUUAAAACAAGAACAAUUAAACAUGCAGGAAAGAAACAAAAUAAAAUCAGACAGUCAAAAGAAAAAAAAGGGAUUUACCGGGUUUUAUUUCAAAAACUGGAUAGAACCACGAACUCGUCCAAACUCCCUGAAGUGUAAAUGGACUUUGACUACCAUUAAAACAAUCGACUAAUGGAGGUUCUAAGUCCACUUAACCAAUUUUGACCGAAAAAAUUAGAAAAGGGGAAAAAAUUAGGGUUCGAUGAUUCUGAGAUUCAAGAUUCGAGGAAUUUGGCUGGGAUUUUUGAGGAAUCAAGGGUGAGACAGGGGUGAGGGAAGGUCGAGGACUGUUUGGUAUGAAUUUGGGGGCUUUGGGGGAAAUUAGGGUUUUGGAAACCUAAAUUUCGAUUCAAGAUUCGAGCAGCUAGGCAGUGAUUCGAAGGCAAAGGGUUGGGGAUUUGUAAAGAGGGGAUGAAGGGGAGUUCGGGGUGUUAAUUUGGUUAAGAUUGGAACAGUUAGGUUUUUUAGCCGGAUUUUCGAUCUAAUAUUCGAGGAGUUUGGCACUGAUUCGAAGGAAGACAACUAGAGAUAUGGAUUGAAGAGGUGAAGGGGAGCUCAUGGUGUUAUUUUGGGGAAGAUUGGUCCACCGGAACCGCCGUGAGGUGAUUUCCGGCGGUGGUUUGCGGUGGAGGCGGCGUGGGGAUAUGAGAAAGAGAUGAGAGUGAAGACUGAAAGAGGUUAGACGGGUGGGGGGGUGGGUGGGUUUCUCUUCGGACAGUUUUAUAUAAAAUAACUCCCUAGUUCUGAACCGUUGGAUUGCUAAGAUCCAACGGCUGUGAUUAGGCGUUACAAAAAAUGGGGUCGUU
Molecule: long non-coding RNA, 3099 nt
Filed under: Nicotiana tabacum (common tobacco)
Lineage: Eukaryota; Viridiplantae; Streptophyta; Magnoliopsida; Solanales; Solanaceae
Description: long non-coding RNA (NTAB_LNC016150)
Source: RNAcentral